UGGAACAUAGAAGAAAUACCUAGAGCUGCUCAUAUGACUAAAGAAGAUUUGAUUUGUGAAGAACAUUUUAUAAAAACACACUAUAGAGAAAAAAGUGGACGUUAUGUGGUACGUCUACCGUUCAAAGAGCCACCACCUGCUGUGAAUAACUCCUAUCAAGUAGCUGUAAGCAGGUUGAAAAGGGUUGAACAAGCUUUCAAAAAGGAACCAACCCUGUGGACAAUGUACAAGGACUUCAUGUAUGAAUAUGAAAAUUCUAAUCAUAUGAAAUUAGUUCAACCAGGUGAGCAACAACCUUUAAUUUAUUUGCCACAUCAUCAUGUGUGCCGGUUGUCUAGUUCUUCUACUAAAUUAAGAGUGGUGGUUUUCGAUGGAUUAAGUAAAAUGAAUGAUGGGCGCUCGUUUAAUGAUUGACUACCUAGUGGUCAUAAUAUGCAAAAAAACAUUGUUGAUGUCAUCACACAUUUCAGAUUUCCAGCCAUUGUGUUUACUGCAGACAUACGUCAAAUGUUCUAGCAAAUACAAGUUCACGGGGACGAUCAGCAGUUUCAAGGCAUCGUAUAGAGAGACAAUCCAUCGAAACCUAUACAGAGCUAUAAACUUGCAACAGUGACGUAUGGACUGAUCACUUCAUUAUAUCAAGCCUUAUGUGUCUUAAAACAAUUAGCAUUGGAUGAAUAAUACAGUUACCCAAUAGGAUCACAGGUCUUAUUAAAUGAUUUGUAUGUUGACAAAGUCAUGUCUGGUGGUGAUUAUAUAAAACUCAAGAACUUAUAGCAUUAUUGAAUCAAGGAAGUUUUGAGCUGGGCAAAUGGGCGAGCAACCAUAGGGAAGCCUUACAACACAUACCCUCUGAACACUAAAUUAAGGAGAUUUCAUUCAAAGAAGAUACAGAUUCCAUCAUUAAAAUAUUGGGCAUCAAUUGGAACACAACAAAUGACACAUUCACAUUUAGGGUGGAACCCAUGAAAGUUAUAUCUCAUCUAACCAAAAGGGAGUUAUUAUCUGAAAUCGCAAGAAACUUUGAUCCUUGUGGUUGGUUAGCACCCCUAGUAGUUGUUGCUAAGUUAAUAAUGCAACAAUUGUGGCAAGAGCACUUAGAGUGGGAUGACCACAUUCUGCAACAUUUAUUUAACGCCUGGAAGAUACAUAGAAUGUCAUUCAAAUUUUUAAACACAUUUGAAAUACCACGACACAUAAUGAAUUCUGCAGCGCAUAGUACAUUUUUACUGCACGGUUUCAGCGUCAGUUCUGAAAAGCCUUAUGCUGCUGUAGUCUACAUCGUUUCCACUCAAAACCAUUUGGUACUCAUGUUGCUUAUAGCAAAAACUCAAGUUGCACCAGUUAAGAAGAUGACCAUUCUAAGAUUGGAGUUAUGUGGGGCGCUGUUACUUCCUGAACUCACUAAUGCUCUACUUCAAUCAAUUAAUAUUGAUACAAUCAGUAUAUUUGUGGUCAGAUUCAAUUAUCAUAUUACAUUGGAUUGGUAGUGAUCCAACUAGAUGGUUGACAUUUGUGUCAAACAGAGUGGGACAGAUUCAAACCUUGACGCCAUCAGCAAAUUGGCAAUAUGUUCCUUCAGCAGACAAUUCAGCAGAUAUGGCCUCAAGAGGUUUAAACGGCCAAGAGCUUGUAUCAAAUCAGUUAUGGUGAAAUGGUCCCAGUUGGCUUACUACCCCGGCAGAGUGGCCAGUAAUAGAAAAUUAUGAAAAUUCUACAUUCAACAUUGAAGAGAGAAUGGUGCAAUGCAGUCUACCAUUAACAUCCAUGUCAAGCCUUUCACCAAGAACUAUAGAUCUAAGGCCAAGCAGACUGUCGGAAGCUGUGCUGUAAGUGAGAGGCACCAAGCACUGCAGUAUUGGAUACGUGUAGUACAAGGUUCAGAAUUUAACAUGGAAUUAACCUCCCUAAGUAGACGUCAGACAGUAAAGGCAAAUAGUCAGCUUGCUGGUUUGAAUCCAUUUAUAAAUGAAAAGAGAAUAUUAAGAGUGGGCGGUCGACUCAAACAUUCAGAAUUGGCUUAUGAUAUGAAGCAUCCUAUUAUUCUACCAAAAAAUCACUUCUUUACUACAUUGAUAAUCAAUCAAGUGCAUCUACAUAACUUACAUUCAAGCUUGUCGGUUACUAUGACAAUUCUAAGACAGAGAUACUGGAUCAUACACAAUAGAAGCUCUGUCAAACAGGUGAUACAUAACUGCAAUAAAUGUUAUUGAUUUCGAAAGACAAAAUGUCAACAACUUAUGUCUGAUUUACCUACAUCCAGAAUUACUUUGGCAACUGCUUUUGAUAGAGUUGGUGUUGAUUUUGCAGGUCCAUUCAAUGUCAAAUCCAAAUUACGCUGUCAAACUUUCACAAAAUCUUACCUAGCACUGUUCAUAUGUUUGACUACUUAGGCAGUACAUUUGGAAAAGGUAGAUGGAUUAAGUACUGAAGAUUUCAUUACUACAUUAAGAUGUUUUAUUGCUCAUCGAGGACAUCCAAGCGUUAUCAGUAGCGAUAACGGUACAAACAAUAAAUUGUGUGAGCUGUAUAAACUAGUUAAGCAACCUGAUCAUCAAAACUCAGUUACCUUAUUCUGUCAAUCAAGAGAAAUUCAGUGGAAAUUCAUUCCUCCUGCUUUGCUUCAUCAUGGCGGGUUGUGGGAAUCAAAUAUUAAGUCUACCAAAGGUAUUUUAAAUAAAGUCACAAGAGACAUGUGCUUUACUGCUGAAGAGCUAAACAUCUUAUUUUGUCAAAUUGAAGCCAUUCUAAACUCAAGACCACUUCAAGCUAUCUCCAUGGAUACUACUGAUUAUUCAGCUUUAACCCCUGGACAUUUCUUAAUAGGAAGGCCACUUCUCUCUUUGCCUGAACCAGAACAAACAGAAGUUCCCCUCAAUCGUUUGACUAGGUGGAACCUUAUACAGUAACUUCAGCGAGGAUUUUGGAAACAGUGGACCUCUGAAUACUUAUGUUCGUUACAAAACAGGCCCAAGUGGCGGUGGUUCAAUCAACCCAAUCUGCAAGUGGGUGACCUUGUUGUAGGGAAGGGUAUCCAGACCUCACCUACACAAUGGCCAUUAGCUCGAAUCACUCAACUGCUUCCAAGUACCAGUGAUGGCCAAGUAAGGGUAGUUAAAAUCCACACAGCUGUAGCCGAACUGACUAGACCCAUCACAAAAUUAAUCAAGUUACCUAUUACUCAAUAAUUAAUUUAUAGUCAUAAAUUUCUAUUUGUU
Melanaphis sacchari is the source of this 3218-nucleotide RNA transcript. RefSeq lists it as uncharacterized. The record is from RefSeq and is a predicted model, not a curated record. The transcript is spliced from 2 exons. NCBI's taxonomy places the organism in Eukaryota, Metazoa, Arthropoda, Insecta, Hemiptera, Aphididae.